AAAGUCUGAUGGAGCAACGCCGCGUGAGUGAUGAAGGUUUUCGGAUCGUAAAACUCUGUUGUUAAAGAAGAACAAGUGUUAGAGUAACUGUUAACACUUUGACGGUAUUUAACCAGAAAGCCACGGCUAACUACGUGCCAGCAGCCGCGGUAAUACGUAGGUGGCAAGCGUUGUCCGGAUUUAUUGGGCGUAAAGCGAGCGCAGGCGGUUUUGUAAGUCUGCUGUGAAAGCCCUCAGCUCAACUGAGGAAGUGCAGUGGAAACUACAAAACUUGAGUACAGAAGAGGAAAGUGGAACUCCAUGUGUAGCGGUGAAAUGCGUAGAUAUAUGGAAGAACACCAGUGGCGAAGGCGGCUUUCUGGUCUGUUACUGACGCUGAGGCUCGAAAGCAUGGGUAGCGAACAGGAUUAGAUACCCUGGUAGUCCAUGCCGUAAACGAUGAAUACUAGGUGUUGGAGGGUUUCCGCCCUUCAGUGCCGCAGCUAACGCAUUAAGUAUUCCGCCUGGGGAGUACGACCGCAAGGUUGAAACUCAAAGGAAUUGACGGGGGCCCGCACAAGUGGUGGAGCAUGUGGUUUAAUUCGAUGCUACGCGAAGAACCUUACCAGCUCUUGACAUCUUCUGCCAACCCAAGAGAUUGGGCGUUCCCUUCGGGGACAGAAUGACAGGUGGUGCAUGGUUGUCGUCAGCUCGUGUCGUGAGAUGUUGGGUUAAGUCCCGCAACGAGCGCAACCCUUAUUAUUAGUUGCCAGCAUUUAGUUGGGCACUCUAGUGAGACUGCCGGUGAUAAACCGGAGGAAGGUGGGGACGACGUCAAAUCAUCAUGCCCCUUAUGAGCUGGGCUACACACGUGCUACAAUGGAUGGUACAACGAGUCGCGAAACCGCGAGGUCAAGCUAAUCUCUUAAAGCCAUUCUCAGUUCGGAUUGCAGGCUGCAACUCGCCUGCAUGAAGUUGGAAUCACUAGUAAUCGUGGAUCAGCAUGCCACGGUGAAUACGUUCCCGGGCCUUGUACACACCGCCCGUCACACCAUGAGAGUUUGUAACACCCAAAGACGAUGGGGUAACCUUUUAGGAGCUAGUC
Molecule: ribosomal RNA, 1084 nt
Filed under: Apilactobacillus kunkeei
Lineage: Bacteria; Bacillati; Bacillota; Bacilli; Lactobacillales; Lactobacillaceae
Description: bacterial SSU rRNA
Rfam family: Bacterial small subunit ribosomal RNA
Source: RNAcentral